GGAGAGGAGACGGAGGGAAAUGAUAACUCAAGAGCAGCGUCGGAGAAAGGCCAUAGAAGAUAGAGUGGACCUUAUCAACAGUGUCGAGGAACCAGUAGAUGGCGUCGAACUCCACUGCAAAUUUCCAGAUGGAAGAAUUUCCAAUAGGAGAUUUUAUUUAUCCCAGCCAUUCCAGCAUCUUGUUGCUUUUGUUGGGACUGACGAGAUGGCAUCUGAGGUCUUCACUCUGCAGCGCGCAAUGUCCCCUACUGCCAUCUACAGCAACUGUGCAGGAGCCAUCGUCGAUCAGGGUAUCGAUGGGCCCUGCACAUUGUAUGUGCUUUGGCUGUCAAGCA
Long non-coding RNA from Scophthalmus maximus (turbot), 335 nucleotides. RefSeq lists it as uncharacterized. NCBI's taxonomy places the organism in Eukaryota, Metazoa, Chordata, Actinopteri, Pleuronectiformes, Scophthalmidae. The record is from RefSeq and is a predicted model, not a curated record. The transcript has 3 exons.